UACGUAGGGUCCGAGCGUUGUCCGGAAUUAUUGGGCGUAAAGGGCUCGUAGGCGGUUUGUCACGUCGGGCGUGAAAACUCAGGGCUCAACCCUGAGCGUGCGUUCGAUACGGGCAGACUAGAGGUAUGUAGGGGAGAACGGAAUUCCUGGUGUAGCGGUGGAAUGCGCAGAUAUCAGGAGGAACACCGGUGGCGAAGGCGGUUCUCUGGGCAUUACCUGACGCUGAGGAGCGAAAGCAUGGGGAGCGAACAGG
RNAcentral lists this ribosomal RNA (253 nucleotides) under uncultured bacterium. Its description in RNAcentral is "partial 16S ribosomal RNA". It matches the Rfam family "Bacterial small subunit ribosomal RNA", at positions 524 to 776 of the family's 1533-position model. The record is from RNAcentral.